RNAcentral lists this ribosomal RNA (274 nucleotides) under uncultured bacterium. Its description in RNAcentral is "partial 16S ribosomal RNA". It matches the Rfam family "Bacterial small subunit ribosomal RNA", at positions 523 to 796 of the family's 1533-position model. The record is from RNAcentral.
AUACGGAGGGUGCAAGCGUUAUUCGGAAUCACUGGGCGUAAAGGACGCGUAGGCGGGUUGGCAAGUCAGAUGUGAAAUCCUACAGCUUAACUGUAGAACUGCAUUUGAAACUGCUAACCUAGAGUAUGGGAGGGGGAGAUGGAAUUAGAGGUGUAGGGGUAAAAUCCGUAGAUAUCACUAGGAAUACCGAAAGCGAAGGCGAUCUCCUGGAACAUAACUGACGCUAAGGCGUGAAAGCGUGGGGAGCAAACAGGAUUAGAAACCCCAGUAGUCC